This 476-nucleotide ribosomal RNA is filed under the name Grania capensis. RNAcentral's name for it is "partial 16S ribosomal RNA". It matches the Rfam family "Bacterial large subunit ribosomal RNA", at positions 1824 to 2597 of the family's 2925-position model. The record is from RNAcentral. Lineage: Eukaryota; Metazoa; Annelida; Clitellata; Enchytraeida; Enchytraeidae.
UGCUAUAUGAGUAAUUAUAUAUAGUAAUCUCCUGCCCAGUGAUUUUUUAAACGGCCGCGGUAUCCUAACCGUGCAAAGGUAGCAUAAUAAUUUGUCCAUUAAUUGUGGACUAGCAUGAAAGGGGCAACGAAAUAAGAUCUAUCUCAAUAAAAUAACUUAAAACUAUUAUAAAAGUGAAGAAACUUUUAUAAUAUUAAAGGACAAGAAGACCCUAUAGAGCUUAAUUAAUAUAAUAUAAAUUAUAUUAAUUAAAUUCGGUUGGGGCGACCCAGGAAAAUUCAUCCUUAUUAUAUUAGAUAAAUAUAUCAAUUUAUUGAUCCAUAUUAUGAUCACAAAACCAAGCUACCUUAGGGAUAACAGGCUAAUCCCUCUUCAGAGUUCAUAUCAACAGAGGGGAUUGGCACCUCGAUGUUGGCUUAGAUCACCUCUUUGGCGCAGUUGUUUUAAAAGGGGGUUUGUUCAACCCAUCAUUAUCU